ACACAGGGAGGUAGUGACAAGAAAUAACAAUACGGGGCUUAAUGUCUUGUAAUUGGAAUGAUGGGAAUUUAAACCUCUUCCAGAGUAUCAAUUGGAGGGCAAGUCUGGUGCCAGCAGCCGCGGUAAUUCCAGCUCCAAUAGCGUAUAUUAAAAUUGUUGCAGUUAAAAAGCUCGUAGUUGAAUUUCUGCUGCAUUACAUAUCUCUUGUUUGAGUUUGUUUUUGUGGCUUAUUUCGGUUUGAUUUUUUCUUUCCGGAUGAUUACUUUGAGAAAAUUAGAGUGCUCAAAGCAGGCUUUUGCCUUGAAUAGUUUAGCAUGGAAUAAUAAAGUAGGACUUUGGUUCUAUUUUGUUGGUUUUAGGUACCAAAGUAAUGGUUAAUAGGAACAGUUGGGGGCAUUCGUAUU
This 404-nucleotide ribosomal RNA is filed under the name Theileria buffeli. Its description in RNAcentral is "SSU rRNA". It matches the Rfam family "Eukaryotic small subunit ribosomal RNA", at positions 454 to 898 of the family's 1831-position model. The record is from RNAcentral. Lineage: Eukaryota; Apicomplexa; Aconoidasida; Piroplasmida; Theileriidae.